Melopsittacus undulatus (budgerigar) is the source of this 297-nucleotide long non-coding RNA. RefSeq lists it as uncharacterized. The record is from RefSeq and is a predicted model, not a curated record. The transcript has 3 exons. NCBI's taxonomy places the organism in Eukaryota, Metazoa, Chordata, Aves, Psittaciformes, Psittaculidae.
GGUGUGAAACAGAGUGAAACUUCCAGUGGUUAGUAUGUUUGUGUGUCUGGAUUCUCCUGGGAAUAUGCAUGUUUUCUGGAUAUCAUUCUACAGGAUAUGAAAGAUGCUUCUGAAGAGGAAGGAAUUUACUUCUUGGGAAAAGUCACAUACAACCAGGGUGGUUCCCCCAUGCAGACUUCCAGCUUGGAGGAGGCAAAGGGAAAGAAUUUUCCACACCUAAACCUGAGUCAUUCAUACUACACAUGUAUUUAUUGAAUUCAACUGGAUGGAGCCCCAUUCUCUGAAAGAACACAGAUG